This 638-nucleotide ribosomal RNA is filed under the name uncultured bacterium. Its description in RNAcentral is "bacterial SSU rRNA". It matches the Rfam family "Bacterial small subunit ribosomal RNA", at positions 28 to 660 of the family's 1533-position model. The record is from RNAcentral.
AUUGAACGCUGGCGGAAUGCUUUACACAUGCAAGUCGAACGGCAGCACGGGGGCAACCCUGGUGGCGAGUGGCGAACGGGUGAGUAAUACAUCGGAACGUGCCCAGUCGUGGGGGAUAACUACGCGAAAGCGUAGCUAAUACCGCAUACGAUCUCUGGAUGAAAGCGGGGACCGCAAGGCCUCGCGCGAUUGGAGCGGCCGAUGGCAGAUUAGGUAGUUGGUGGGGUAAAGGCCUACCAAGCCGACGAUCUGUAGCUGGUCUGAGAGGACGACCAGCCACACUGGGACUGAGACACGGCCCAGACUCCUACGGGAGGCAGCAGUGGGGAAUUUUGGACAAUGGGCGCAAGCCUGAUCCAGCCAUUCCGCGUGCAGGAUGAAGGCCCCUCGGGUUGUAAACUGCUUUUUGUACGGAACGAAACGGCCUGCUCUAAUACAGCGGGCCAAUGACGGUACCGUAAGAAUAAGCACCGGCUAACUACGUGCCAGCAGCCGCGGUAAUACGUAGGGUGCAAGCGUUAAUCGGGAUUACUGGGCGUAAAGCGUGCGCAGGCGGUGAUGUAAGACAGAUGUGAAAUCCCCGGGCUUAACCUGGGAACUGCAUUUGUGACUGCAUCGCUGGAGUGCGGCAGAGGGGG